AGUGAACGCUGGCGGUAGGCCUAACACAUGCAAGUCGAACGGCAGCACAGUAAGAGCUUGCUCUUACGGGUGGCGAGUGGCGGACGGGUGAGGAAUACAUCGGAAUCUACUUUUUCGUGGGGGAUAACGUAGGGAAACUUACGCUAAUACCGCAUACGACCUACGGAUGAAAGCAGGGGAUCUUCGGACCUUGCGCGAUUGAAUGAGCCGAUGUCGGAUUAGCUAGUUGGCGGGGUAAAGGCCCACCAAGGCGACGAUCCGUAGCUGGUCUGAGAGGAUGAUCAGCCACACUGGAACUGAGACACGGUCCAGACUCCUACGGGAGGCAGCAGUGGGGAAUAUUGGACAAUGGGCGCAAGCCUGAUCCAGCCAUACCGCGUGGGUGAAGAAGGCCUUCGGGUUGUAAAACCCUUUUGUUGGGAAAGAAAAGCAGCAGGUUAAUACCCCGCUGUUCUGACGGUACCCAAAGAAUAAGCACCGGCUAACUUCGUG
RNAcentral lists this ribosomal RNA (492 nucleotides) under uncultured bacterium. RNAcentral's name for it is "partial 16S ribosomal RNA". It matches the Rfam family "Bacterial small subunit ribosomal RNA", at positions 29 to 507 of the family's 1533-position model. The record is from RNAcentral.